This 26-nucleotide non-coding RNA is filed under the name Mus musculus (house mouse). Lineage: Eukaryota; Metazoa; Chordata; Mammalia; Rodentia; Muridae. The record is from RNAcentral.
UAUAAUCAACAGAGACAUGGAGGCUG